RNAcentral lists this ribosomal RNA (253 nucleotides) under uncultured prokaryote. RNAcentral describes it as "partial 16S ribosomal RNA". It matches the Rfam family "Bacterial small subunit ribosomal RNA", at positions 524 to 776 of the family's 1533-position model. The record is from RNAcentral.
UACGAGUGCUCCAAGCGUUAUCCGGAAUUAUUGGGCGUAAAGGGUGUGUAGGUGGUAGUGUUAGUCUUCUGUUAAAUUCUUCGGCUUAACCGGGGGCAUGCAGGGGAAACGGCACAACUAGAGGAUGCGAGAGGUAUGUGGAACUCAUGGUGUAGGGGUGAAAUCCGUUGAUAUCAUGGGGAACACCAAAUGCGAAGGCAGCAUACUGGCGUAUUCCUGACACUGAGACACGAAAGCGUGGGUAGCGAAUGGG